Molecule: long non-coding RNA, 1079 nt
Filed under: Homo sapiens (human)
Lineage: Eukaryota; Metazoa; Chordata; Mammalia; Primates; Hominidae
Description: HSALNT0335344
Source: RNAcentral
CAGUAAAGCUGAUGUUAAGACCGAAAUUUUAUUUUUCAUGCAGAGUUCACUCUUGGAGAGUUGCAGUAAAGGCAGUCACACUUGGAGUACCUCAGUGACGGCAGAAAGGUUUAUGUUUUCCUCUUGGUGACAACAUAAAUCUCUGUGAGAUUGCUGUAAAGGGCUUGCACUGGGGUGAACUGCUCCCACUGUCCUGCCAUUGGUACACCACUGGAAACAUCACUGAAGAAGCACUGUGGUGGAGGUGGAGGAUGACACGAAGGCAGUGAGACAGAAGCCAGGAUUACACUUAUUUCCUGCAUAUAAACCCCCAAUUAUAGUCAGUCAUGGAGAAGGAUUUGAGACUGAUCUCCCAUCUCUUCAGCUGCAGCACCUGAUUAAAGCCUUCUUCCCUAAAAAUACUUGUUGGCUCAGUGAUUGGCUUUCUGUGUGAUGAACAGCAGGACCUAGACAGGACCCUUCGUGUUUUGAUCUCAGCACCCGUAUAUAAGAACAGCGUCAAUUUUGCUUGGCUUUGGAGGAGAAUUUGGAUGAAAAUGCAGAAGGACAUGUCUCUUCCCAAUUAUAAGAUAGCAAAGCCUUCAUACUCACUUGACUCUGGGAAGGAUUGUGUCACAGAGUAAAAGAAGAAAUUGCUUAUAGACUACAAAGGCUAACAUGGAGAUAGAAGAACCACAUGGAGCUUGGAAAAUGGGAAUCUCAGUAAUAACAUAAUGGCUGUGAGUCUGCAGGGGUGUCCUCCAGUGCUUUUGUUCUUGUUAAAUCCCCAAGGACCUUUGAAGGAUAGUGGGGAGGGGAAUCCUCCAAAUACCUAAGAUUAAAUUUCCUACUGGCUUGGUAGGAUGGAACUUGUAAAUGAAAUUAAAUUUAUUUAUAUUAUUAUUGUUGUUAUAAUUAUUAUUAUAAUUUAUUUUUGACAUUAGGCACCAAACAAGACCAAUCAUAAUUUUUGGCUCAUAACAUACUUGCCAUCAUUGCUUACUCCUGGCCUUCAUUUAUUUUAUUUCUUUAAUUUUAUAUAUUCAUUGACAAUAUGAUGAAGUUAUAUGAAUUCACUGCCUGAAUCAAGAACUAGAAAG